Molecule: ribosomal RNA, 1346 nt
Filed under: uncultured bacterium
Lineage: Bacteria
Description: partial 16S ribosomal RNA
Rfam family: Bacterial small subunit ribosomal RNA
Source: RNAcentral
GACGAACGCUGGCGGCGUGCUUAACACAUGCAAGUCGAACGGAAAGGCCCUGCUUUUGUGGGGUGCUCGAGCGGCGAACGGGUGAGUAACACGUGAGUAACCUGCCCUUGACUUUGGGAUAACUUCAGGAAACUGGGGCUAAUACCGGAUAGGAGCUCCUGCUGCAUGGUGGGGGUUGGAAAGUUUCGGCGGUUGGGGAUGGACUCGCGGCUUAUCAGCUUGUUGGUGGGGUAGUGGCUUACCAAGGCUUUGACGGGUAGCCGGCCUGAGAGGGUGACCGGCCACAUUGGGACUGAGAUACGGCCCAGACUCCUACGGGAGGCAGCAGUGGGGAAUAUUGCACAAUGGGCGGAAGCCUGAUGCAGCAACGCCGCGUGCGGGAUGACGGCCUUCGGGUUGUAAACCGCUUUCGCCUGUGACGAAGCGUGAGUGACGGUAAUGGGUAAAGAAGCACCGGCUAACUACGUGCCAGCAGCCGCGGCGAUACGUAGGGUGCGAGCGUUGUCCGGAUUUAUUGGGCGUAAAGGGCUCGUAGGUGGUUGAUCGCGUCGGAGGUGUAAUCCUGGGGCUUAACCCUGAGCGUGCUUUCGAUACGGGUUGACUUGAGGAAGGUAGGGGGGAAUGGAAUUCCUGGUGGAGCGGUGGAAUGCGCAGAUAUCAGGAGGAACACCAGUGGCGAAGGCGGUUCUCUGGGCCUUUCCUGACGCUGAGGAGCGAAAGCGUGGGGAGCGAACAGGCUUAGAUACCCUGGUAGUCCACGCUGUAAACGGUGGGUACUAGGUGUGGGGUCCAUUCCACGGGUUCCGUGCCGUAGCUAACGCUUUAAGUACCCCGCCUGGGGAGUACGGCCGCAAGGCUGAAACUCAAAGGAAUUGACGGGGCCCCGCACAAGCGGCGGAGCAUGCGGAUUAAUUCGAUGCAACGCGUAGAACCUUACCUGGGUUUGACAUGGAUCGGGAGUGCUCAGAGAUGGGUGUGCCUCUUUUGGGGUCGGUUCACAGGUGGUGCAUGCCUGUCGUCAGCUCGUGUCGUGAGAUGUUGGGUUAAGUCCCGCAACGAGCGCAACCCUUGUUCACUGUUGCCAGCACGUUAUGGUGGGGACUCAGUGGAGACCGCCGGGGUCAACUCGGAGGAAGGUGGGGAUGACGUCAAGUCAUCAUGCCCCUUAUGUCCAGGGCUUCACGCAUGCUACAAUGGCUGGUACAGAGAGUGGCGAGCCUGUGAGGGUGAGCGAAUCUCGGAAAGCCGGUCUCAGUUCGGAUUGGGGUCUGCAACUCGACCUCAUGAAGUCGGAGUCGCUAGUAAUCGCAGAUCAGCAACGCUGCGGUGAAUACGUUCCCGGAGCU